CCGCUCUCUUCGGACAAAGACUUUUUCAUUACUUAGAAUCGAGCGCGGGAAAAAUUCCUGCUGGUAAAUCCAUUGCAGGAUUAAAAAUGUCUUUAUUCGACGUGAGUCGAGUUUACCCGAUAAUGUUUCGAGUCUCCUCCGCCUGAACGCAUUUUAACGCAGGCGUUUGCUGUAACCGGUGCGUCUUUGUGAUCCUCUAUUGAACUUUUUAGUCGGUUUGGUGUUAGUGAUUUGGCCCUAAAGUGCUAUUUUCGGGCGGUGGCUCUAUACUUCUGAGGAGGAUUAUAAAUAUCAGGCGAAAUAAAAACCCUUUGAAG
This is a long non-coding RNA of Leptinotarsa decemlineata (Colorado potato beetle), 317 nucleotides long. The record is from RefSeq and is a predicted model, not a curated record. NCBI's taxonomy places the organism in Eukaryota, Metazoa, Arthropoda, Insecta, Coleoptera, Chrysomelidae.